Molecule: ribosomal RNA, 468 nt
Filed under: uncultured bacterium
Lineage: Bacteria
Description: partial 16S ribosomal RNA
Rfam family: Bacterial small subunit ribosomal RNA
Source: RNAcentral
GACGAACGCUGGCGGCGUGCUUAACACAUGCAAGUCGAACGGAAAGGCCCUGCUUUUGUGGGGUGCUCGAGUGGCGAACGGGUGAGUAACACGUGAGUAACCUGCCCUUGACUUUGGGAUAACUUCAGGAAACUGGGGCUAAUACCGGAUAGGAGCUCCUGCUGCAUGGUGGGGGUUGGAAAGUUUCGGCGGUUGGGGAUGGACUCGCGGCUUAUCAGCUUGUUGGUGGGGUAGUGGCUUACCAAGGCUUUGACGGGUAGCCGGCCUGAGAGGGUGACCGGGCAAAAUGGGGAUGGGGAUACGCCCAGGACGCAACCGGGGGCAAGAGGUGGGAAUUAUGGCAAAAGGGGCGGAGGCUGGAUGAAGCACCGCCGGGUGGGGAAGGACGGCCUUCGGGUGGAAAACGGCUUUGGCCUGUAACGAGGCGUGAGGAACGGUAAUGGGAAAAAAGGCACCGCCUACUUACUG